RNAcentral lists this ribosomal RNA (384 nucleotides) under Schistonchus sp. 2 NK-2021. RNAcentral describes it as "partial 28S ribosomal RNA". It matches the Rfam family "Eukaryotic large subunit ribosomal RNA", at positions 509 to 856 of the family's 3401-position model. Lineage: Eukaryota; Metazoa; Nematoda; Chromadorea; Rhabditida; Aphelenchoididae. The record is from RNAcentral.
CAUUUGUCACAUAACUUUCGUAAAAUAUGCAUAUCUAAUUAAUAAAACACAUGUCGGUUAUUUUUCUAAUACGUAUGUUUUUUAGUUUAAAUUAUCCAUGUAUUUUGUAAUUCGGUGUUUAGUCAAAUCAUACUUAUGCCCCCUCUUGAAACACGGACCAAGGAGUUUAAGGUGUUCGCAAGUUAGUGAGAUAUAUUGCAUUUCGAAACUCAAAAGCAUAAUGAAAGUGAAACAUUUAAUGUUUAUGAUGAGAAUAGUGGUUUAUUUUAAAAUUUACACUAUGCAACAUCACCCCAUGACUAGAACAUGUUCUGUUGUGGAGGUAGAGCGUACGCUUUGAGACCCGAAAGAUGGUGAACUAUGCCUGAACAGGAUGAAGCCAGA